This 274-nucleotide ribosomal RNA is filed under the name uncultured bacterium. Its description in RNAcentral is "partial 16S ribosomal RNA". It matches the Rfam family "Bacterial small subunit ribosomal RNA", at positions 523 to 796 of the family's 1533-position model. The record is from RNAcentral.
AUACGGAGGGUGCGAGCGUUACUCGGAGUCACUGGGCGUAAAGCGUCCGUAGGCGGUCGGGUAAGUCGGGUGUGAAAGCCCCGGGCUCAACCUGGGAAGUGCACCCGAUACUGCUCGACUCGAGUGCGGGAGAGGAUGGCGGAAUUCCCGGUGUAGCGGUGAAAUGCGUAGAGAUCGGGAGGAACACCAGUGGCGAAGGAGGCCAUCUGGCCCGCAACUGACGCUGAGGGACGAAAGCGUGGGGAGCAAACAGGAUUAGAAACCCCAGUAGUCC